This 532-nucleotide long non-coding RNA is filed under the name Chloebia gouldiae (Gouldian finch). Its description in RNAcentral is "Erythrura gouldiae (Gouldian finch) lncRNA (ENSEGOG00005005611.1)". Lineage: Eukaryota; Metazoa; Chordata; Aves; Passeriformes; Passeridae. The record is from RNAcentral.
AUGCAUCUAUGCUAUGUUUCAGGUGCCUUUGCCAACACAUUAACAGUAAUACUAGGAGGACUAAAUAUAGCAGAUGUUCUGCAAUCCCACACCAAAAGGAAACCUGGAAAUGUUGGAAAUUAUGCAGAUAUCCCCGAGUCACUCUCCUGCAACCCACUGCAGAGCACAAAGAAGAAAAGAGAAGUUUCUACAUUGCUUAAACACACAAGAGCUACUGACGUGACCCUCUUAGAGCCAUUUCACACUCUUUCCAGGGCACACCAAUGAUUUUACUUGAUUGCCAUUGCAGUGGGCACUACAGAAUGCAGGCUUCAUUCCUACUUCAGUUUUCUUUCUGUGCAUUUGGCAGCAAUUCUGGACACUCAGAAAUGCAGACCAUCACUAUUUUCUUUCAUUUCCACUUUCCCUUUAGAAAUGUUUUAUAAACAGCUUUCCCACACUGGAAAAAAAAUAAUUAAAUAAUUAAUAAUUUUAAAAAAUUAAAGUAAUUAAAGAUGCUCUAUUAUUCAAGUUAGUGGAAAUAGAAGAGUGA